Molecule: long non-coding RNA, 1382 nt
Filed under: Equus caballus (horse)
Lineage: Eukaryota; Metazoa; Chordata; Mammalia; Perissodactyla; Equidae
Description: lncRNA (ENSECAG00000041578.2)
Source: RNAcentral
CCGUGUUCCUGGCCUUAACUCCCUCACCCCCGACGGAAUCUCUUGGCUGCUGUGUUUGAGAUUCUUACGUGAAAUGGGUUUUAAGCAGUGAUCUGAUCCACGGAGACGUGGGGGCUGCUUUCUGAGAUUCACACCCUUGUGUAAUUCCCUCCUUUGAGUGUGAGCUGAAUCGGUGACUCGUUUCAAAUCAACAGAAGACUGCAAAAUCGAUGGGAUGCGUGUGAUCACAUGUUCAGGAUUAUGGGACGUAAGACGGUGCUGUCUCCUGCCGGGGCACGCUCUCUCUGUCUCUCUCUCCCUUGAUGCUUUUGAGGAAGGAAGCUGCCAAGUUGUGAGCUGCCCUCGGGCCACAUGGCAUGGAACUGAAGCUGUCCCAUGGAACUAGGAGCUGUGGAUGAGAACUCAGCCCCAGCCGACACCUUGACUGCAGCCUCCCAGAGCACCCAGCUAAGCUGUGUCCGGACCGACAGAACCCUCCCAGCUCACCAAUGCAAUUCUUAGAGCAUCGGCUUGGAUGGGCUGGUCUCACAAAAUUGAUCACCUGGGACAGAAAGCACACCAUCUAUUGCUUUGGAGAUGUUGUGAAAGGAAGACAACUUGUGUUCCAAGUUUGACUCUGUACCCGGCACAUAGGAUGCUGCAGGGACCCCAGAGAUGGCAGAGGCACGAGAUGGAAGGAGCCCGCAUCCUUGAAUCAUCGUACAUCAACCCAGAGAACCCAUUUUCCACCCAGAUGUGAAAACUCAGGUCUGGAAAGAGACAGUCACAUCCCCAGUCUCCGCACACAGUAGGUGCUCAGAAUGAAGGCACAAGGUGAGUGCCUUUUUAAAGAUGAAGUUUUCACGUAACUGAGGUCCGGAGAAGUGAAGGGAUGUGUCCAGGAUCACACUCAAACGGUGGCACAGCGAGCGUGCACGUGGACCUGCCGGCGCCCCCUCAACUCUGUGGGCUCGCCCUCCCUCUCCUGCUGUCCUACUAAGAGUGACCUCCUGUGGCCUCCGGAGUUGCCUUGGGCCCUGGACUGGCUCUCCCAGAGGUGAGCCAGAAGCGCCGAGAAGUACCCUGCACCCGCUGUGGCCCGUAGCUGAUGACUGACCGGUGCAGAGGCGGGAAGCCCAGCUCCUUUCCACGCAGACGGAACAAACUCUGAGACGUGGUCCACGCUCCAGAGCCCCCACAGGCUCAGGUUGAGGCCGAUCCGGGGCUUUGCUUGGAAUCACGCCCCGACUUUGCCUUCAGAUGGUGAUAAACACAAGGGAGAGAAAGAGAAGGAGGCGGAUAGAAAUUACUCGGGGUGCGGGAGUGAUGCAGAUUUUAAAUAGGUUGGUCCGAGAAGCCCUCGCUGGAGGGGUUAACGUCGGAGGAGAGAUCAAAAGGUAAGG